Molecule: ribosomal RNA, 563 nt
Filed under: uncultured bacterium
Lineage: Bacteria
Description: bacterial SSU rRNA
Rfam family: Bacterial small subunit ribosomal RNA
Source: RNAcentral
CCUACGGGAGGCAGCAGUGGGGAAUCUUGCGCAAUGGGCGAAAGCCUGACGCAGCAACGCCGCGUGCGGGAAGAAGGCUUUCGGGCUGUAAACCGCUUUCAGCAGGAACGAAAAUGACGGUACCUGCAGAAGAAGGAGCGGCCAACUAUGUGCCAGCAGCCGCGGUGAUACAUAGGCUUCAAGCGUUGUCCGGAUUUAUUGGGCGUAAAGAGUUCGUAGGCGGUCGAGUAAGUCGGGUGUGAAAAUUCUGGGCUCAACCCAGAGACGCCACCCGAUACUGCUUGACUUGAGUUCGAUAGGGGAGUGGGGAAUUCCUAGUGUAGCGGUGAAAUGCGCAGAUAUUAGGAGGAACACCGGUGGCGAAGGCGCCACUCUGGAUCGAUACUGACGCUGAGGAACGAAAGCAUGGGUAGCAAACAGGAUUAGAUACCCUGGUAGUCCAUGCCGUAAACGGUGGGCACUAGGUGUGGGUUUCUAUUAACGAAAUCCGCGCCGUCGCUAACGCAUUAAGUGCCCCGCCUGGGGAGUACGGUCGCAAGACUAAAACUUAAAUGAAUUGACGG